AAACUUGUCCACUCCUUACGGGGGAGACAGUCAUGAGACGUGAGUAUAAGACCUGAGUGUAAAGACCUUAGGGUGAAGCAAUUGGAGGGCAAGCUUUGGUGCCAGCAGCCGCGGUAACUCCAACUCCAAGAGUGUCUAUGGUGGAUGCUGCAGUUAAAGGGUCCGUAGUCGUGAAUGCAAUUAAAUGUCGUUGUUCAAUAGCGAUGAGUUUGCUAAUGUUUGCGGAACGGAUAGGGAGUGUAGUAUAGACUGGCGAAGAAUGAAAUCUCAAGACCCAGUUUGGACUAACGGAGGCGAAGGCGACACUCUUAGACGUAUCUUAGGAUCAAGGACGAAGGCAGGAGUAUCGAAAGUGAUUAGACACCGCUGUAGUUCCUGCAGUAAACUAUGCCGACAGCCUGUGUGUGAGAAUACGUGGGCGGGAGAAAUCUUAGUGUUCGGGCUCUGGGGAUAGUACGCUCGCAAGGGUGAAACUUAAAGCGAAAUUGACGGAAGGACACUACCAGGAGUGGAUUGUGCUGCUUAAUUUAACUCAACGCGGGAAAACUUACCAGGGUCAAGUCAUUCGUUGAUCGAAUACGUGAGAAUGGCAGG
This 594-nucleotide ribosomal RNA is filed under the name Enterocytozoon bieneusi. Its description in RNAcentral is "SSU rRNA". It matches the Rfam family "Microsporidia small subunit ribosomal RNA", at positions 296 to 896 of the family's 1311-position model. The record is from RNAcentral. Lineage: Eukaryota; Fungi; Microsporidia; Enterocytozoonidae.